RNAcentral lists this long non-coding RNA (684 nucleotides) under Phasianus colchicus (ring-necked pheasant). RNAcentral describes it as "lncRNA (ENSPCLG00000016957.1)". Lineage: Eukaryota; Metazoa; Chordata; Aves; Galliformes; Phasianidae. The record is from RNAcentral.
GAAACAGUGAAGCUCACAAAUUGUAUUUUGUUUUUGGCUAAUCACUGUGGCAAUACAGUUGUUAGUGCUCAUUUGGAGGACAACACAUUUAUACGGUUAUGCACCUAUUCAUUUUUUCUCUGCUUACAUAUCCAAACCACUUUCAUAGGAACUACUGAAGGGGAUAGAAUGGUAUUUCCAGAUUAUCCCUUAAUGCAGAGAAGAAAUAAUAAGUCUUUCAGACCAGUUUUAACUCCCUGAUUGUGGCAUCCAUCUAUUUUGGUACUAGUACCAAUCCUAGUAAGCCUGAUGCGCAUAAAGUAAAUUCAACUUGCACAAGCAAAAGCAAGUUGUUAUCACUGUGCUACAUGAAGGUUAUAUUGGAGAGGAUCCAUUGUAACUUCAGCCCUUCUUUUUUUUUUUUUUUUUUUUUUUUUGGUACUGACUGGCUGACAUCCCUACUAAUCUGGCUGCAGUACAAAAGUUCCACUUAUUUCCACACAAUUCAGAUCAGAAGCAGCAGGCCCAGUCACAGUGAGCAGCAUGGGGCCUCUCAGGAAGGGUACAGCUGCCACAGAUUCCUGGCUUAUCUGAGACUCACCAGCAUAACACCAGAUAGAAAGCUGAAGAAUGCAAUGGAUGAUGAGUAUUUAGAAGAAGAAUGAACCCUGAAGGAGAAUAAAGCGCAAGCCUCGAAGAUUGUCA